This 164-nucleotide small RNA is filed under the name Arabidopsis thaliana (thale cress). RNAcentral's name for it is "ATSL116620". The record is from RNAcentral. Lineage: Eukaryota; Viridiplantae; Streptophyta; Magnoliopsida; Brassicales; Brassicaceae.
AUUAAUUUAAGAAGAAAAAGGGCAAAUGAGAAAAGUGGACUUUCCUUUUAGGCUGUUUUAAUAAUCGUCUUCCCCGCGGUUUGCCCAUCUGUCUCCGUCUUCAUCAUCAAGCAAAAAAAAAACUCAUCUUUCUCCACUCUCUCUCUCUCUCUCUCUCUCUCUCU